GAGUUUGAUCCUGGCUCAGAUUGAACGCUGGCGGCAGGCCUAACACAUGCAAGUCGAGCGGAUGACGGGAGCUUGCUCCUUGAUUCAGCGGCGGACGGGUGAGUAAUGCCUAGGAAUCUGCCUGGUAGUGGGGGACAACGUUUCGAAAGGAACGCUAAUACCGCAUACGUCCUACGGGAGAAAGCAGGGGACCUUCGGGCCUUGCGCUAUCAGAUGAGCCUAGGUCGGAUUAGCUAGUUGGUGGGGUAAUGGCUCACCAAAGGCGACGAUCCGUAACUGGUCUGAGAGGAUGAUCAGUCACACUGGAACUGAGACACGGUCCAGACUCCUACGGGAGGCAGCAGUGGGGAAUAUUGGACAAUGGGCGAAAGCCUGAUCCAGCCAUGCCGCGUGUGUGAAGAAGGUCUUCGGAUUGUAAAGCACUUUAAGUUGGGAGGAAGGGCAGUAAGUUAAUACCUUGCUGUUUUGACGUUACCGACAGAAUAAGCACCGGCUAAACUCUGUGCCAGCCGUCGACGG
RNAcentral lists this ribosomal RNA (519 nucleotides) under bacterium enrichment culture clone ALO1_GLFRUDD03GJ058. RNAcentral's name for it is "bacterial SSU rRNA". It matches the Rfam family "Bacterial small subunit ribosomal RNA", at positions 9 to 520 of the family's 1533-position model. The record is from RNAcentral.